UUGGCAUGGUGGUGCUAUCGGUUGUUGUGGGAGUUGUAGUCAUUUCAGUAGUAGUUGACGGCGCGGUAGUGGUCGGCAUGGUGGAGGUUUCGGUCAUCGUGAGAGUUGUACUCGUUGCAGUAGUAGCUGAGGCCACAGUAGUGGUCAUCGUGGUGGUGGUUUUAGUCGUCGUGGGAGUUGUCGUCAUUGCAGUAGUAGUUGACGUUGCAGUUGUGGUCGGCGUGGUGGUGCUAUCUGUUGUCGUGGGAGAUGUAGUCGUUGCAGUAGUCGUUGAUGUCGCGGUACUGGUCGGCAUGAUUGUGCUUUCAAUUGUUGUGGGAGUUGUAGUCGUUGCAGUAGCUGUUGACAUCGCGGCAGUGGUCGGCGUGGUUGUGGUUUCGGUUGUCGAGGGAGGUGUAGUCGUUUCAGUAGUAGUUGAUGUCGCGGUAGUGGUCGGAAUGGUUAUGAUUUCGGUUGUUGUGGGAGUUGUUGUCGGUGCUGUAGCUGUUGACAUCGCGGCAGUGGUCAGCGUGGUUAUGCUUUCGGUUGUCGUGGGAGUUGUAGUCGUUGCAGUAGUAGUUGAUCUCGCGGUACUGGUUGGCGUGGUUAUGCUUUCGGUUGUUGUGGGAGUUGUUGUCGUUGCUGUAGCUGUUGACAUCGCGGCAGUGGUCGACAUGGUGGUGGUUCCGGUUGUCGUGGGAGUUGUAGUGGUUGCAAUAGUGGUUGACGUCGCGGCAGUGGUCAGCAUGGUGGUGGUUCCGGUUGUCGUGGGAGUUGUAGUCGUUGCAGUAGUGGUUGACGUCGCGGCAGUCGUCGGCAUGGUGGUGGUUCCGGUUGUCGUGGGAGUUGUUGUCGUUUCGGAAGUAGUUGACAUCGUGGUACUUGUCAGGGUGGUGGUUGUUUCGGUUGUCGUGGGAGUUCUAGUCAUUUCAGUAGUAGUUGAAGUCGCGGUAGUGGGUGAUGCCGCAGCAGUGGUCGGCGUGGUGGUGGUUCCGGUUGUCGUGGGAGUUGUAGUCGUUGCAGUAGUAGUUGACGUCGCGGUAGUGGUUGGAGCUGUUGUGCUUUGGGUUGUCGUGGGAGUUGUUGUCGUUGCUGUAGUAGUUGACGUCGCAGAAGUGGUUGGAGCUGUUGUGCUUUGGGUUGUCGUGGGAGUUGUAGCCGUUGCAGUAGCUGUUGACAUCGCGGCAGUGGUCGGCAUGGUGGUUGUUUCGGUUGUCGUGGGAGUUCUAGUCGUUUCAGUAGUAGUUGAAAUCGCGGUAUUCGGUGAUGCCGCAGCAGUGGUCGGCGUGGUGGUGGUUCCGGUUGUCAUGGGAGUUGUAGUCGUUGCUGUAGUAGUUGACGUCGCGGUAGUGGUUGGAGCUGUUGUGCUUUGGGUUCUCGUGGGAGUUGUUGUCGUUGCAGUAGCUGUUGACAUCGCGGCAGUGGCCGGCAUGGUGGUUGUUCCGGUUGUCGUGGGAGUUGUAGUCGUUGCAGUAGUGGUUGACGUCGCGGCAGUGGUCGGCAUGGUGGUGGUUCCGGUUGUCGUGGGAGUUGUAGUCGUUGCAGUAGUAGUUGACGUCGCGGUAGUGGUUGGAGCUGUUGUGCUUUGGGUUGUCGUGGGAGUUGUUGUCAUUGCUGUAGUAGUUGACGUCGCGGUAGUGGUUGUCAUGGUUAUGCUUUCGGUUGUCGUGGGAGUUCUCGUCGUUGCAGUAGUAGUUAACGUCGCGGCAGUGGUCGGCAUGGUGGUGGUUUCGGUUGUCGUGGGAGUUGUAGUCGUUGGAGUAGCUGUUGACGUCGUGGUACUUGUCAGGGUGGUGGUUGUUUCGGUUGUCGUGGGAGUUCUAGUCGUUUCAGUAGUAGUUGAAGUCGCGGUAUUCGGUGAUGCCGCAGCAGUGGUCGGCGUGGUGGUGGUUCCGGUUGUCAUGGGAGUUGUAGUCGUUGCUGUAGUAGUUGACGUCGCGGUAGUGGUUGGAGCUGUUGUGCUUUGGGUUGUCGUGGGAGUUGUUGUCGUUGCAGUAGUGGUUGACGUCGCGGCAGUGGUCAGCAUGGUGGUGGUUCCGGUUGUUGUGGGAGUUGUUGUCGUUGCUGGAGUAGUUGACGUCGUGGUAGUGGUUGGCAUGGUGAUGCUUUGGGUUGUCGUGGGAGUUGUUGUCGUUGCAGUAGUAGUUGACGUCGCGGUAGUGGUUGGAGCUGUUGUGCUUUGGGUUGUCGUGGGAGUUGUUGUCGUUGCUGUAGUAGUUGACGUCGCGGUAGUGGUUGGAGCUGUUGUGCUUUGGGUUGUCGUGGGAGUUGUAGCCGUUGCAGAAGCUGUUGACAUCGCGGCAGUGGUCGGCAUGGUGGUGGUUCCGGUUGUCGUGGGAGUUGUAGUCGUUGCAGUAGUGGUUGACGUCGCGGCAGUCGUCGGCAUGGUGGUGGUUCCGGUUGUCGUGGGAGUUGUUGUCGUUUCGGAAGUAGUUGACAUCGUGGUACUUGUCAGGGUGGUGGUUGUUUCGGUUGUCGUGGGAGUUCUAGUCAUUUCAGUAGUAGUUGAAGUCGCGGUAGUGGGUGAUGCCGCAGCAGUGGUCGGCGUGGUGGUGGUUCCGGUUGUCGUGGGAGUUGUUGUCGUUGCAGUAGUAGUUGACGUCGCGGUAGUGGUUGGAGCUGUUGUGCUUUGGGUUGUCGUGGGAGUUGUUGUCGUUGCUGUAGUAGUUGACGUCGCAGAAGUGGUUGGAGCUGUUGUGCUUUGGGUUGUCGUGGGAGUUGUAGCCGUUGCAGUAGCUGUUGACAUCGCGGCAGUGGUCGGCAUGGUGGUGGUUCCGGUUGUCGUGGGAGUUGUAGUCGUUGCAGUAGUGGUUGACGUCGCGGCAGUCGUCGGCAUGGUGGUGGUUCCGGUUGUCGUGGGAGUUGUUGUCGUUUCGGAAGUAGUUGACAUCGUGGUACUUGUCAGGGUGGUGGUUGUUUCGGUUAUCGUGGGAGUUCUAGUCAUUUCAGUAGUAGUUGAAGUCGCGGUAGUGGGUGAUGCCGCAGCAGUGGUCGGCGUGGUGGUGGUUCCGGUUGUCGUGGGAGUUGUAGUCGUUGCAGUAGUAGUUGACGUCGCGGUAGUGGUUGGAGCUGUUGUGCUUUGGGUUGUCGUGGGAGUUGUUGUCGUUGCUGUAGUAGUUGACGUCGCGGCAGUGGUUGGAGCUGUUGUGCUUUGGGUUGUCGUGGGAGUUGUAGCCGUUGCAGUAGCUGUUGACAUCGCGGCAGUGGCCGGCAUGGUGGUUGUUCCGGUUGUCGUGGGAGUUGUUGUCGUUGCGGGAGUAGUUGAUCUCGCGGUACUGGUUGGCGUGGUUAUGCUUUCGGUUGUUGUGGGAGUUGUUGUCGUUGCUGUAGCUGUUGACAUCGCGGCAGUGGUCGACAUGGUGGUGGUUCCGGUUGUCGUGGGAGUUGUAGUGGUUGCAAUAGUGGUUGACGUCGCGGCAGUGGUCAGCAUGGUGGUGGUUCCGGUUGUCGUGGGAGUUGUAGUCGUUGCAGUAGUGGUUGACGUCGCGGCAGUCGUCGGCAUGGUGGUGGUUCCGGUUGUCGUGGGAGUUGUUGUCGUUUCGGAAGUAGUUGACAUCGUGGUACUUGUCAGGGUGGUGGUUGUUUCGGUUGUCGUGGGAGUUCUAGUCAUUUCAGUAGUAGUUGAAGUCGCGGUAGUGGGUGAUGCCGCAGCAGUGGUCGGCGUGGUGGUGGUUCCGGUUGUCGUGGGAGUUGUAGUCGUUGCAGUAGUAGUUGACGUCGCGGUAGUGGUUGGAGCUGUUGUGCUUUGGGUUGUCGUGGGAGUUGUUGUCGUUGCUGUAGUAGUUGACGUCGCAGAAGUGGUUGGAGCUGUUGUGCUUUGGGUUGUCGUGGGAGUUGUAGCCGUUGCAGUAGCUGUUGACAUCGCGGCAGUGGUCGGCAUGGUGGUUGUUUCGGUUGUCGUGGGAGUUCUAGUCGUUUCAGUAGUAGUUGAAAUCGCGGUAUUCGGUGAUGCCGCAGCAGUGGUCGGCGUGGUGGUGGUUCCGGUUGUCAUGGGAGUUGUAGUCGUUGCUGUAGUAGUUGACGUCGCGGUAGUGGUUGGAGCUGUUGUGCUUUGGGUUCUCGUGGGAGUUGUUGUCGUUGCAGUAGCUGUUGACAUCGCGGCAGUGGCCGGCAUGGUGGUGGUUCCGGUUGUCGUGGGAGUUGUAGUCGUUGCAGUAGUGGUUGACGUCGCGGCAGUGGUCGGCAUGGUGGUGGUUCCGGUUGUCGUGGGAGUUGUAGUCGUUGCAGUAGUAGUUGACGUCGCGGUAGUGGUUGGAGCUGUUGUGCUUUGGGUUGUCGUGGGAGUUGUUGUCAUUGCUGUAGUAGUUGACGUCGCGGUAGUGGUUGUCAUGGUUAUGCUUUCGGUUGUCGUGGGAGUUCUCGUCGUUGCAGUAGUAGUUAACGUCGCGGCAGUGGUCGGCAUGGUGGUGGUUUCGGUUGUCGUGGGAGUUGUAGUCGUUGGAGUAGCUGUUGACGUCGUGGUACUUGUCAGGGUGGUGGUUGUUUCGGUUGUCGUGGGAGUUCUAGUCGUUUCAGUAGUAGUUGAAGUCGCGGUAUUCGGUGAUGCCGCAGCAGUGGUCGGCGUGGUGGUGGUUCCGGUUGUCAUGGGAGUUGUAGUCGUUGCUGUAGUAGUUGACGUCGCGGUAGUGGUUGGAGCUGUUGUGCUUUGGGUUGUCGUGGGAGUUGUUGUCGUUGCAGUAGUGGUUGACGUCGCGGCAGUGGUCAGCAUGGUGGUGGUUCCGGUUGUUGUGGGAGUUGUUGUCGUUGCUGGAGUAGUUGACGUCGUGGUAGUGGUUGGCAUGGUGAUGCUUUGGGUUGUCGUGGGAGUUGUUGUCGUUGCAGUAGUAGUUGACGUCGCGGUAGUGGUUGGAGCUGUUGUGCUUUGGGUUGUCGUGGGAGUUGUUGUCGUUGCUGUAGUAGUUGACGUCGCGGUAGUGGUUGGAGCUGUUGUGCUUUGGGUUGUCGUGGGAGUUGUAGCCGUUGCAGAAGCUGUUGACAUCGCGGCAGUGGUCGGCAUGGUGGUGGUUCCGGUUGUCGUGGGAGUUGUAGUCGUUGCAGUAGUGGUUGACGUCGCGGCAGUCGUCGGCAUGGUGGUGGUUCCGGUUGUCGUGGGAGUUGUUGUCGUUUCGGAAGUAGUUGACAUCGUGGUACUUGUCAGGGUGGUGGUUGUUUCGGUUGUCGUGGGAGUUCUAGUCAUUUCAGUAGUAGUUGAAGUCGCGGUAGUGGGUGAUGCCGCAGCAGUGGUCGGCGUGGUGGUGGUUCCGGUUGUCGUGGGAGUUGUUGUCGUUGCAGUAGUAGUUGACGUCGCGGUAGUGGUUGGAGCUGUUGUGCUUUGGGUUGUCGUGGGAGUUGUUGUCGUUGCUGUAGUAGUUGACGUCGCGGUAGUGGUUGGAGCUGUUGUGCUUUGGGUUGUCGUGGGAGUUGUAGCCGUUGCAGUAGCUGUUGACAUCGCGGCAGUGGUCGGCAUGGUGGUGGUUCCGGUUGUCGUGGGAGUUGUAGUCGUUGCAGUAGUGGUUGACGUCGCGGCAGUGGUCGGCAUGGUGGUGGUUCCGGUUGUCGUGGGAGUUGUUG
Molecule: long non-coding RNA, 5529 nt
Filed under: Scleropages formosus (Asian bonytongue)
Lineage: Eukaryota; Metazoa; Chordata; Actinopteri; Osteoglossiformes; Osteoglossidae
Description: lncRNA (ENSSFOG00015027332.1)
Source: RNAcentral